GCCUGGGUGGCUCAGUCGGUUGAGCGUCCGACUUCAGCUCAGGUCGUGAUCUCACACUCCGUGAGUUCGAGCCCCGCGUCAGGCU
This is a non-coding RNA of Felis catus (domestic cat), 85 nucleotides long. The record is from Rfam. NCBI's taxonomy places the organism in Eukaryota, Metazoa, Chordata, Mammalia, Carnivora, Felidae.